RNAcentral lists this ribosomal RNA (406 nucleotides) under uncultured bacterium. RNAcentral describes it as "partial 16S ribosomal RNA". It matches the Rfam family "Bacterial small subunit ribosomal RNA", at positions 30 to 526 of the family's 1533-position model. The record is from RNAcentral.
AUUGAACGCUGGCGGCAGGCUUACCACAUGCAAGUCGAACGAGUGGCGGACGGGUGAGUAAUGCUUGGGAAUCUAGCUUAGGGAGGGGGAUAACUACGGGAAACUGUAGCUAAUAUCGCGUACCAUAGGAUGAGCCCAAGGGGGAUUAGGUAGUUGGUGAGGUAAAGGCUCACCAAGCCGACGGACUCUAGCUGGUCUGAGAGGAUGACCAGCCACACUGGGACUGAGACACGGCCCAGACUCCUACGGGAGGCAGCAGUGGGGAAGCUUGCGCAAUGGGGGCAACUCUGACGCAGCCAUCCCGCGUGUGCGAUGAAGGCCUUCGGGUUGUAAAGCACUUUUGGCAGGAAAGCGGUACCUGCAGAAUAAGCACCGGCUAACUACGUGCCAGCAGCCGCGGUAAUUC